CAAUAGCGUAUAUUAAAGUUGUUGCAGUUAAAAAGCUCGUAGUUGGACCUUGGACCUGGACAGGCGGUCCGCCUCACGGCGUGUACUGUCUUGCUGGGUCUUUCCUCUUGGUGAUCUGUUGUUUCGGCAGCAGGGAACCAGGACUUUUACUUUGAAAAAAUUAGAGUGCUCAAAGCAGGCUCGACGCCGGAAUAUAUUAGCAUGGAAUAAUAAAAUAGGACGUGCGGUUCUAUUUUGUUGGUUUUUGGAAUCGCCGUAAUGAUUAAUAGGGACAGUCGGGGGCAUUAGUACUCACAUGCUAGAGGUGAAAUUCUUGGAUUUUGUGAAGACUAACUUCUGCGAAAGCAUUUGCCAAGGAUGUUUUCAUUAA
RNAcentral lists this ribosomal RNA (370 nucleotides) under uncultured eukaryote. RNAcentral describes it as "partial 18S ribosomal RNA". It matches the Rfam family "Eukaryotic small subunit ribosomal RNA", at positions 592 to 976 of the family's 1831-position model. The record is from RNAcentral.